Molecule: ribosomal RNA, 356 nt
Filed under: uncultured Glomeraceae
Lineage: Eukaryota; Fungi; Glomeromycota; Glomeromycetes; Glomerales; Glomeraceae
Description: bacterial SSU rRNA
Rfam family: Eukaryotic small subunit ribosomal RNA
Source: RNAcentral
UGCAGCCGCGGUAAUUCCAGCUCCAAUAGCGUAUAUUAAAGUUGUUGCAGUUAAAAAGCUCGUAGUUGAAUUUCGGGAUUAGUGCGCCGGUCGUGCCUUCGGUAUGUACUGAUGUUACUGGUUCCUACCUUCUGAAGAACCGUUAUGUCAUUAAUUUGGCGUGCCGGGGAGCCAGGACCAUUACCUUGAAAAAAUUAGAGUGUUUAAAGCAGGCUUUUGCUUGAAUAGAUUAGCAUGGAAUAAUAGAAUAGGACGUUGUGGUUCUAUUUUGUUGGUUUUAGGACCACCGUAAUGAUUAAUAGGGAUAGUUGGGGGCAUUAGUAUUCAAUUGUCAGAGGUGAAAUUCUUGGAUUUAU